Non-coding RNA from Odocoileus virginianus texanus, 4874 nucleotides. Lineage: Eukaryota; Metazoa; Chordata; Mammalia; Artiodactyla; Cervidae. The record is from RefSeq and is a predicted model, not a curated record.
ACUUCUGGCCAGCCCGCACAGUAUGUCAAGUCGGCCCCGGGAAGCGGGUACAGUCAGAGAAGACUGCCGCGUUCUAUCUGAUGAGUGACCUGAGCCUAGAGGACCUCAGUUCACUGAAAUCGAGGAACAUGAUAAGGAGGUGGCUGGUUAUUUUUAUCCUUUUCCCCCUGCAGCUCAUAGAGAAAUGUGAGUCAACAGUUGACUUCUCUGUACCUCCCAUCGUGAAGCUGGAAAACGGAAGCUCCACCAGCGUCAGCAUCUCCCUCCCGUGCCCUUUAAAUGCAACCUUGGUGAUCACUUUUGAAAUCACAUUUCGUUCAAAAAACGUUACUAUCCUUCAGCUCCCUGAUGAAGUCGUGGUGCCUCCCGGAACGACAAAUACCUCUUUUCGAGUGACGUCUCAAAGUGUUGGACAAGUUACCGCUUAUCUUCAUGGAAAUCACUCCAACCAGACCAGCCCAAGGAUACGCUUCUUGGUGAUCCACAGCAACGUCGUCAGCAUCAUCAACCAGGUGAUCGGCUGGAUCUACUUUGUGGCCUGGUCAGUCUCCUUCUACCCUCAGGUGAUCACCAACUGGAGGCGGAAAAGUGUCGUGGGUCUGAGCUUCGACUUUGUGGCCCUCAACCUGAUGGGGUUUGUGGCCUACAGCGUGUUCAACAUCGGCCUCUUCUGGGUAUCCUCCAUCAAGGAGCAGUUUCUCCUCAAAUACCCCAACGGCGUGAACCCCGUGGACAGUAAUGACGUCUUCUUCAGCCUGCACGCGGUCGCCCUCACCCUGGUCGUCAUAGCGCAAUGCCUCCUGUAUGAGCGAGGCAACCAGCGUGUGUCCUGGCCAGCCAUCAGCUUCCUGGUCCUCUCCUGGCUCUUCACGCUCAUCGCCCUGAUCAUGGCUGCGGUUGGGGCAACCACCUGGCUGCAGUUUCUCUUCUGCUUCUCCUACAUCAAGCUGGCAGUGACGCUGGUCAAGUAUUUUCCACAGCCACAGCAGGAUGCUGGGGAGAUGAGCCGGGAGGAGGCGGCCCCCCCAGCACCCAGGGUCCUCCCUGUGGGCCCUCACACCCUCCCUCGAGUGCUCAAGACAAUCCUACUCAGAGUCGGGGACUGAGAGUCACACACGGCUUCCGCCACAGCCAGAAUGGCCUAGGACCAGUUCAGGUAUGAAAGAACUGACAACCACAGGCUCUACUCAUGAAUCUGGGGCCUCAUUUAACCCACUUCCCCAGCACAGGGAACCUUUUGUUCCAGAAGGUUCAAGAAGGAGAACAUUUUGGCCAGAAUCUCAGGGCCAGUCCCCUGGAGGGCAUGGAAACAGAGCCAUACCCUUAAGGAUCAGCAGGACUCAGUUCCAUGGACCGGGGAGAGGGGCCGCUCCGGGCCAGUGCAUUCUGCACAAAGGCACUGUCGGAGGAGGCCUUGCAGGUGGAGCAGUGUGAAGCUAGGAAGGUGGGAUCGGGGCCCAGGGGGCUUGGGAAGGAGGCUUCAGAGUAGGGGAAGGGCCUGGGGGAAGUAGGGCCUCAGUCCUGAGUGUGGGAAGGCUUGGGCCUGGGAAACCUGGGAGGGAGGAGCCUGAGUUGGAGAUGUCUUGGACCAUCCAGGACUGGAGAGGUGGCAGCAAGCAUGAAGGUUAGUGGGAGAGGCCAAGAAGGGGGCCUGACAGGUGGCUGCUGGGAGAAGACCUGGAAGGAGUGAUGUCCAAGUGGACUGGACCUGCGAAGCCCAAGGUGGAGGCCCUAGAGCCUCAGCAGGGCUGGGGAAGGAGUGAAGUCCAUGCUAUAGGUGGGAAAACUAAGGCUAGGAGAAUUCAAGUCACUCUCCCAAAGUAACACAGCUCCCAUGGUGGAGCUGGGAUUCCAAACUAGGUCAUCGGACCUCCCAGGCUGUGUUCAUAAGCCCAACAUGAAGUCCAGGCUGAGUUUGGGGAGAAUCUCCAUUUGAAGGUGAGAAGAAACAAAUCAGAGUUGCCUGAAAGCCAGGAUAUACAGUAGGAUGAAGAUGGAGAGAAAGCAUCCACACACACCCCUCUCCCUCCCCCCAUCCCCCUGGCUGGAGUGGGGAGUUUGGGAGGAGGAGAGCUCGGUUUGCUUGGCUUACAGAGGAGACUCCAGGACCUGCCCAGACUGUGCCCACAGCUCCGAAACCAAAGGUCAUUGUGUUUUGGGGGCUGAGGUCCAAACAGAGGAGUGGGAGGCAUGAGAGCCGCUCUUGUUUGGACAUAGUCACACGGUGCAGGAGGCCGCCUCUCAGCCCCCUCACUGCCCUCUGUCUGUCUGGCCCAGGCCUACAUGAACUUUCACUACAAAAGCACCGAGGGCUGGAGCAUUGGCAACGUGCUUCUGGACUUCACUGGGGGCAGCUUCAGCCUCCUCCAGAUGUUCCUGCAGUCCUACAACAACGACCAGUGGACACUGAUCUUCGGAGACCCAACCAAAUUUGGCCUCGGCAUCUUCUCCAUCAUCUUCGAUGUUGUCUUCUUCAUCCAGCACUUCUGCUUGUACAGAAAGAAACCAGGGUAUGACCAGCUGAACUAGCUCCCCGGGAACCAGUGGAAAGAGCCCAGGCCCAGGCCCUGGUGGGGAAGUUUCCAUCAGGAAGGCUGGAGAAGCUGUCUGGAGAGCUGGGCUGGCUCCGUGUGGAGAAGCACUCUCUUCCUCAGGGCCAGAUGCCUUAAACUUGAACCAGCCUGCCUUCAUCCUGGACUCUCCCAGGCCAGGGAGGACCCUCCCUUUGGGAUAGGCACCUUGACUGUGUGCAGAGAUUAACAGCUGGCAGCCCCUCCUGGUCUCCCCAGAGGUCUUUUGCCCCGGGCCUUUCCAGUCAGGCACCUGGCCCUCCUGCAUCUUGAUGCUGCAUCUCUGUUUUCUUUAAGGCUUCAGGCAGCACACAGGGCUUCUGGCAGCUGUCCCAGGCAGGACUGAGCCCUGAGCUUGGAGCUGAAGGCCUUGCCCCACCGCCCAAGCUACCAGUGUUUCUGGGAGCGGCUUGAAGGACUGACCUGGCAGCUGGGAGAGUCAAGGGAGCCUUGCUGCCACUGCUGUGUUCAGAGACAGAGCAGCCAGGUGUUGUGCCCGAUAGACCCGGAGAUGCUGGUGUUGUUGGCAGAGGGGCAAGGACUUUGGGGUUAGGCCUUGGGGCGCCUCCUCUGAAGGCUGCGUUCUCUGAGCACUCACUGUGUGGACACUCAUCCUACAUCCAGGUGGCCCCAGCCAGGCUCUUGUAAAGAACCAGUAUUUCCAAACCUUGAGGUGCCCAACAGAUUGGUUCGGAAUCGAGCUCACAUCCAGCUCUCUCCGGAUCUUUAUCACACUAACGAGCCAUUUGGAAUUUUUCAGAGGGAUGCUUUGGAAGUGAGUGGCUUACUUUCUUCUGCCUCUGCCUACCUCCACUUUCCCAUAUUCGGGCCCCACACGUGCCCCUUACCUGUUUGGAGGACAGGACACACACAUACACACAUAGACACACACCAGUCUGUGCCUUAGAGGCAUAUUAGACCUGCCAAGUGGUGAGAGCAGCCCCCUUCCCUCACUUUCCCAGACUCCAACCUGAGACUCACCAACUUGUGGCUGUUCCAGAGCCUCAAAGGACUUGAGACCACCUCACACACUCCUUGUGGGCCCCGCCUGACCCCAGAGCCUCUCCCUUCCCACCCCAAGCAGUCGUCCUGCCUGUGGCAGCAGGGGAGGUAGAUGUGCCUUGUCCAUGCCUCGAGCUUGUCGAUCCAUGAGAUGAACAAGGGGCUUCUGUCCUCAAUUAAACCUGCUUCGUUUCCUCUCUGCACACUGAGCAUUUGCCAGAUGCAGGAGGCAGGUGUGUUGGCUUCUGAACCAAGUCCUUAGGGCUCAGGGAGACGGCCUCAGUCAUUCCACUGUACGGAAACGCAUGGCAUUUCGAAGUUCACCAAUCCCAAAAUGGCUGUGUGCCAAACCCGUGUGUCACCAGGGGAGCCCUGCUGGGCGGCACUGUUGGAUGCUCAGGGCCAGGCUGGUCCCAGAGGGACCAUCUGCAUGACCAAGGGCGUGGUAGUCUGGCUGUGUGGCCGUAAGCAAGGGCUGGAUGCGUUCUUUAAGGGUAUGUGGGAGAAGAGGCAGGGGAGGGGGUGGUAAAUCUUCCAGAUUCUUCCUCUAGCCUGCCAUACUAAGUAUCAAGGAAUUUAGGAACUUGUUUCUCUAAAGCAGAAAGUGCAGCCUGACCAAGCCCACAUGCCUGAUUUAUUUAGGCCACCCAGCGUGUGGUUGGGUAACACACUUUAAAGAUGGGAGAUUGCAAAAAUCUGACUUGCCUGGGCUAGGUGGGUCCAUGAGUGGCGGCAACUCCCAGAGCCAGUAUUGCAACCAGUCCUGGGCCAGGCAGAGGGCACAGUGCCCCCCAGCUCACUCCCAUCCCAUCAAACCACAGCCUGUGUCCCUGGCAUGGAUAAAAUGAGUUCUCUAAUGUCUUAUGGGAUACGUGUCUGCCCUUGGUGUCCAUGAGGCCCCUUCCCAAUGAGAGCUGAGGCUAGGUUACACAAGGGUAGUGGGGGUCUCCCUGGUCCAGUUCCAGUGAAGGGACUCUCAGACAUUCCCACAGAGCAGCCCUGGCCCAGUACAGCAUCAGUGGGUUUGGGAAUAGAUAUUUCACCAAGUAUCCCUCCCCCCUGUCUCAGCAAAGACCCCUGAUGAAUGAAUUCCAGCACUGUUUAUUGGGCACAGGAUGCAGGGCAGCUUCCCACUGCCCCAUUUCCACAGUAACCAAAGUCAGGCCAGUGCCCUCACUAAGAGUAGCUCCCACGUGUGAAUUAGUAAGCUUAAAUUCCAAAGUUGAACUGGCACCUCCAAAGAGUGAGAUAAAAAACACUUUGUAUCAAAGCUGUGAUUAAAAAAAUAUAAAAGUUAAACCC